UGUGAAAAAAAAGAAGAAGAAGUGAAUAGAUUUCUGCUUCCUUAUUGUGUGAGUCUUUAUGAACAUACGUGUGACAUCCUAAUAAUCUCAUAUUGGAUGAAAAUGGCAUUAUGAUUGAAUAUACAAGAGACCGUUGAUCCUAAUAAUAAUAACUAAACUUAAGUAUUUAGGGCAGUAAUUUGGGCUUAACGAGUAAUAUAUUAUUGCUAGCGGGUGAGGUUGUUACUUUUAGUAUCAGAUCCAAUUCAUUGGCCGAAAGUGUAGUGUACUAACUUUCAGGAUAAUUUCCCGAACUUCGGCCAAAUUGGGCCAAGUUCGGAGAAAAUGGCGUAUGAGACUAAUAUUGGAGGAAGUUUAGAAGCAAAAGUUUGGGUUGAGUGAAAAUUUCAUUAAAUGAGAGGGUUUAAGUUGCAAUUAUAUUGGGGUUUAUAGAUAAGG
RNAcentral lists this long non-coding RNA (438 nucleotides) under Ananas comosus (pineapple). Its description in RNAcentral is "long non-coding RNA (ACOM_LNC036189)". Lineage: Eukaryota; Viridiplantae; Streptophyta; Magnoliopsida; Poales; Bromeliaceae. The record is from RNAcentral.